This 371-nucleotide ribosomal RNA is filed under the name uncultured bacterium. RNAcentral describes it as "bacterial SSU rRNA". It matches the Rfam family "Bacterial small subunit ribosomal RNA", at positions 525 to 896 of the family's 1533-position model. The record is from RNAcentral.
ACGAAGGGGGCUAGCGUUGUUCGGAAUCACUGGGCGUAAAGCGCAUGCAGGCGGAUCGCUAAGUCGGGGGUGAAAGCCCGAGGCUCAACCUCGGAACUGCCUUCGAUACUGACGAUCUUGAGUCCGGGAGAGGUGAGUGGAACUCCGAGUGUAGAGGUGAAAUUCGUAGAUAUUCGGAAGAACACCAGUGGCGAAGGCGGCUCACUGGCCCGGUACUGACGCUGAGAUGCGAAAGCGUGGGGAGCAAACAGGAUUAGAUACCCUGGUAGUCCACGCCGUAAACGAUGGAUGCUAGCCGUCAGCCAGCAUGCUGGUUGGUGGCGCAGCUAACGCAUUAAGCAUCCCGCCUGGGGAGUACGAUCGCAAGAUUA